GACGGGGCCGCACAAGCGGUGGAGUAUGUGGUUUAAUUCGAUGCAACGCGAAGAACCUUACCUGGUCUUGACAUCCCGGAGACCCUUAGGAAACUAGGGGUGCUUCCAUCUGGAAGAAUCUGGAGACAGGUGCUGCAUGGCUGUCGUCAGCUCGUGUCGUGAGAUGUUGGGUUAAGUCCCGCAACGAGCGCAACCCUUGCCUUUAGUUGCCAGCAGUUCGGCUGGGCACUCUAAAGGGACUGCCGGUGUUAAACCGGAGGAAGGUGGGGAUGACGUCAAGUCCUCAUGGCCUUUAUGACCAGGGCUACACACGUACUACAAUGGCCGAUACAAAGGGCAGCGACACUGCGAGGUGAAGCCAAUCCCGUAAAAUCGGUCUCAGUCCGGAUUGGAGUCUGCAACUCGACUCCAUGAAGUUGGAAUCGCUAGUAAUCGUGGAUCAGCAUGCCACGGUGAAUACGUUCCCGGGCCUU
Molecule: ribosomal RNA, 473 nt
Filed under: uncultured Desulfobulbus sp.
Lineage: Bacteria; Pseudomonadati; Thermodesulfobacteriota; Desulfobulbia; Desulfobulbales; Desulfobulbaceae
Description: bacterial SSU rRNA
Rfam family: Bacterial small subunit ribosomal RNA
Source: RNAcentral